GACGAACGCUGGCGGCGUGCUUAACACAUGCAAGUCGAACGGAAAGGCCCUGCUUUUGUGGGGUGCUCGAGUGGCGAACGGGUGAGUAACACGUGAGUAACCUGCCCUUGACUUUGGGAUAACUUCAGGAAACUGGGGCUAAUACUGGAUAGGAGCUCCUGCUGCAUGGUGGGGGUUGGAAAGUUUCGGCGGUUGGGGAUGGACUCGCGGCUUAUCAGCUUGUUGGUGGGGUAGUGGCUUACCAAGGCUUUGACGGGUAGCCGGCCUGAGAGGGUGACCGGCCACAUUGGGACUGAGAUACGGCCCAGACUCCUACGGGAGGCAGCAGUGGGGAAUAUUGCCCAAUGGGCGGAAGCCUGAUGCAGCAACGCCGCGUGCGGGAUGACGGCCUUCGGGUUGUAAACCGCUUUCGCCUGUGACGAAGCGUGAGUGACGGUAAUGGGUAAAGAAGCACCGGCUAACUACGUG
Molecule: ribosomal RNA, 468 nt
Filed under: uncultured bacterium
Lineage: Bacteria
Description: partial 16S ribosomal RNA
Rfam family: Bacterial small subunit ribosomal RNA
Source: RNAcentral